UUUCUUGCUUUUUGCAACCGUGGGACCGCGUUUCUGCGCUUCAGAUUGCGUUUUUCCGACUCCUUUGUUUGAUAUCGUGUCGUAUCGUCGUAUUUAUGUAGUUAUUAGGAACGGCAAGGCCUACGUUGUUGCGUCCUUUACCUGAAUAUCGUGACCGAAUCGAGUGUCGUCGAUUUGAAUCGUGUCUUGCGAACCAUCGUCGAACAAAAGGUGAUGGCUGGUCGUGGUUCAUCAGCGUUUGUUUUGAAACUGAUGGGUACCACAAGGCAUGAAGGAGGUGACUUGCAGCAGCAAGGCACUGCAAGCCUUCGCAGCAACUGGCUAGCCAGUGCUGCUCUGUUCUGAACUGCACUGCGUGUCAUGCGGAGGUUUUGUGCAAGCUCUCUGGGCGGCGACGCUAGCCACGGAGCUGGCCUCCCUCCCUUCCAUCAGCUGCGAGAUACUACAAGCACUGGGCUACAGCUGCAGCUAGCCCAUGGGUACCGUUCUGCGUCCUGUACUGCAUCUAGUUCGAAAGGCCAUGUGAAAGGCAGGUACCGGGGACCAUGACAUCAGUGAGCUGGCUUUCACCUUGUCCAAGGCAGCAGCGGAACACUACGGGCGGGACCCUGGAUCACUGCACCAUGGAUGCCGUCCUGUACCCUGCACGGCACUGCGUGUGGCUUAAGUGGCCAAGCAGAGGGUCAUUGCAUGACUUUUAUGAGGCGCCGCUAGCCAUUGUAAGUACAUUUUGGACACUCAUGUCUGGUGAUGUACUUUUGUGCUCUACCGCAGAGCACAUUUGGUGGCGGUUCAGUCUUGCCAAUUACACCAUUUUGAAACGGAACACAUUUAGUGGUGGCUCGGUUUAGGUUUCCUGGCUCGGUGAUCUUGCAACAGUGUCUAGACUUGGCGUAAACCUUUUUGUACUUCAUUGUCAAGGCUAGUGUAAUUUCUGCAAUGCCGUUGAAGCCACUUCUGCACGCAAACAAGAUAAAAGUCGAAGCUACAUGCUCGUGCACAGUGUAUGACUACAUGUAUGCAUGGGCACUCGUGCCCAUGCGUACCCACUCGCAACAUGGAGCAUGUUUGUUUCGGCCGACACUCCACGCGUUCAUUUCGGCGUCGCCACUCCACACGUCUAUGCACUCGCUGCACCUUGAGAAUCAAGUGUGCACCAGAAUGCACUCCCGUCAUGCAUCACUCGGGAGAGGAACAAGAGCAGACGACUGGGGUUUUUCUGCCAUAAGGAACGAGAACCGAAAAAAAGGGGAUUUUCUGCUAAGAAACUGCGUCCCACGGGCAGCAAAAUCGGACGCGAGCUGGGCUAUUUAUUCUGUGAAGCAAGCAAUCGACAACCUGUGCUUCAUUUUCAAGUUUUCUUUCAGCUUGUUGCCACACAGACAUUGAAAUACAUCAAUGGGAUAAAGUAAGGUUCAGAACCAACAUCAGCUACCGUGAGAUCUCUCACCAUCCUUGCGGGGUUGAAAAAUUGGGACUUCAAUUGACAAACCUCGCCCGCCCUCCUGUCCAUCAUCACCUGACCCCAUUCUGCAUAUGUGGGGCGCAAGGGAGCGUGAUCAUGUGGCUGAAGAUACAAGUGUGACCGGCCCAACGAGCACAUAGUUUCCACAGCACUGUCGGCUUAGGGGUGCACGGAAGAUACUGUAUAAACUGGAAUAUAGGUCGACCCCUUAAUUUACAAGUUGCAAGAUGCAAAAGAAGUUUUUAUGGCAAGAAAACGCAACCUUACCUUGGUGACAAAAUUGUCCAAGUAUAUGAAAGGACGAGAAAACACGGCAGAUUUAUUUAAUUGUUUUGCAGUCAAUAAAACAGGAAGUAUGCGAGUGUUACUACUCAGAUUCCUCAGAGCCUUCGUCCGACGACGAGUUCACUAACACAAUUUAAAGGGACGAUGCCGUCCCUUUGAAUUGCGCCCUCGAAAGCUCGGAGGCACGAGCAACCUUAACGCCUUUUAUAUGGAUGCUCUCCGACAUCACAGGUAUCGAUGUGGCGCACAGAUCCCGAAUAAAGUUUGCCGCCUUUGUUUCCAAUUCGGGGUACACUGCAGUCCUUCCACGAAAUUAAGUUUUCCUCGCCUUGCUGCACGCCGCCGGUUUUUGUCUCUGGUUUUGCCAGUAGCAUAUGCUUUUCUCCGAUACACUGAACUCUCGCUGCGCUGCAAGAUUCCGGUGGAUCUCUGCAUAGGCGAUUGCCUUGUUCUAAAAGGUUACUGUGAACUGUCUUCUACUUCCGCUCAUUAUUGCUGCGGUAGAUGUAACAAACCAAGGAGCACAAGUAAAAGUUAAUCGUGACAAGUGGACGAGUGCUAGGCCAUUGCAAUAUAAAACAAAAUGGCGUCUUCAGGCACUGAGUGUUGCGAGAUUAUUUUUGUUUUUCCGCUAAUGACCGUCAUAUAAGACGAGGGUCGACUUUUUCAGGUCCAAUUUCAAGAAUAAAUUCGACCUAUAUUCCGGUUUAUAUGCUAGUUGUGCAUAGUACUGUGGAAGCCACAGGCUGGGGAGGGGGGGAUUAGCAACUUUUGUCUGAACGUUGAGCGACGAGCAUCAAGGGCCAAUUUCCUAGGGGGAGAAUGGUGACGUGCGAGUACAAAAAUGAGGAUCCAAGCGCCAUGAGCAAGAGGGGAGUUCCUCCUUUUCCUCCUCUUGAACUGCUAGAGGUAUACUUAUGCCCCUGUACCUUUGGUAACACUGCACAAUUUGUAAGUUGAGGAAAGCUAAGAAGGAAGUUGAAGAAUCGAUUCAUGACCCCUUUAACAUUUACCUACACUAGUUACCUUGCACCAUUAUAUUUUGUUUGAGAAAGCUCUCAUCCUCACCCCUCCCAUAAGGGAUAAAAUCAGAAGUGUAUACAACGAUCGGAAUCUAAAGUGCCACGAAACCUAUUGCUGGACAUUCUUACGGGUUAGUGAUCAUUUUUUGUAUGAAUGAGGCCUUACCAGUGCCUUUGCCUCAAUAGUGUGGUAAAAGGGCAAUUUUCUUGUUUGUGCGCACAAAUUUGUUUUGAAACAUAACUUGCUGGACUACCAAUGCAUGUUUCAAGAUCUCUGUUGUGGUGAAUGUUUUGCUGCCUGUUAUAUUCUUCAAUAGCCAGUAUCGUUUAAGUUCUAGAACUCUAUACAGUAAACUCCCACUUGAGCAAACUUCUAGGGACUCAAAGAAAUAGUUCCCUUAACUAGGAGUCCACUCAACUGAAUAUAUUCACUGGAUUAUGGAACAGCAUAGGGCACAGCAUACAUUGAGUCAAAAGGGUGAAAUGCAAUUUAUGGAGUCAUGUACAUUGAUAUAUACAAAGUGUAUUGCAGUUACGCUGCUGCCUUUCUCAUUUUGAAAAUAGUCAAUAAUUUUCAUUUGCACCGGCGCUCUGAAAGCGCAUGAAGUAACAAAGUUGCCCAGAGAGUAUCUUUUUUUUUUUUGCAUAUCCUCUGGCACAGCUAGUUGCUGUGAGGAAGUCAUACCGCAACGGCACUGUCCACUGGCUUGAAAUAUUCAGUGCAGAGCCGUUCCCUGUUGGGAUUGAACGCAGUUUCUCUUUCAAGCUUCGACUUUUGCUUCACUAACGUUGACAACGUCGACGGUAGCAUCCGAUAGUCCUUCGCAACAUUCACUUGCCUUUGACCGUUGCCCAGACGCUGAAAGUAUUUCAAUUUGUCUGAGAGACAACCGCUUCCAUUUCGUUAUACUUAUUACGUAAGUGGGCGCACAAACUGCCGUUGUUACCCAAAACUAAGAUGGCCGAAAGGAACCAAUAAUAAAGAAAAGAAAAUAUGCACCGCAUGGUUCGUUUUUGUCUACCGCACCGCUGCUGCAAAGGCGGCGGCGGCCAUCAGCUACGCCAGCACUGCAGAGCACAAAACUUUGUUGAACUGAUCACAACAGUAAUCCUGGGUCCACCGAUCAAGUUCGUUGAACUGAAAUAUUCGCUAUUCCGAAAUUCGUUUUUCGUAGAGCAAACUUUUUUGCAUAGAAUGCAAAGGAAAACCGCCAUAGAUUUUUGAAAGUUUGUUAUUCUGAAAUACUUGUUAAACCGACAUUUGCUCAAGUGCGAGUUUAUUGCACCCGACUACUGUGCGUUGCCCUACAUGUUCGGGUAAGGUACUGUUUCUGUUUACCUAAUAGGCACUUUUGUUCUCUGCA
This 4136-nucleotide unclassified non-coding RNA is filed under the name Ixodes scapularis (black-legged tick). RNAcentral's name for it is "uncharacterized LOC120840839, transcript variant X1". The record is from RNAcentral. Lineage: Eukaryota; Metazoa; Arthropoda; Arachnida; Ixodida; Ixodidae.